This 562-nucleotide ribosomal RNA is filed under the name Polyporales sp. 1 SR-2012. RNAcentral's name for it is "eukaryotic LSU rRNA". The stretch from base 155 to 308 matches the Rfam family "5.8S ribosomal RNA". The record is from RNAcentral. Lineage: Eukaryota; Fungi; Basidiomycota; Agaricomycetes; Polyporales.
UGUGCACGCCUGGCUCAUCCACUCUCAACCUCUGUGCACUUUAUGUAAGAAACGGUGUAAGCCAGCUAUCUAAUAGUUGGUAAUAAGCCUUUCUUAUGUUUAUUACAAACGCUUCAGUUAUAGAAUGUUUACUGUGUAUAACACAAUUAUAUACAACUUUCAGCAACGGAUCUCUUGGCUCUCGCAUCGAUGAAGAACGCAGCGAAAUGCGAUAAGUAAUGUGAAUUGCAGAAUUCAGUGAAUCAUCGAAUCUUUGAACGCACCUUGCACUCCUUGGUAUUCCGAGGAGUAUGCCUGUUUGAGUCUCAUGGAAUUCUCAACCCCUAAAUUUUGUAAUGAAGUUUAGUGGGCUUGGACUUGGAGGUUGUGUCGGCUUCUAGUCGACUCCUCUGAAAUGCAUUAGCGUGAAUCUUACGGAUCGCCUUCAGUGUGAUAAUUAUCUGCGCUGUGGUGUUGAAGUAUUUAUUAGUUCAUGCUUAUAGUCGUCUCUUACCGAGACAAUUUAUGACAAUCUGAGCUCAAAUCAGGUAGGACUACCCGCUGAACUUAAGCAUAUCAAUAA